RNAcentral lists this ribosomal RNA (474 nucleotides) under uncultured sponge symbiont. Its description in RNAcentral is "bacterial SSU rRNA". It matches the Rfam family "Bacterial small subunit ribosomal RNA", at positions 325 to 795 of the family's 1533-position model. The record is from RNAcentral.
AAAGGUCCAGUUCCCUACGGGGGCCAGCAGUCUAGAAAUUUGCGCAAUGGGCGAAAGCCUGACGCAACGACGCCACGUGGAGGAUGAAGCCCUUAGGGGUGUAAACUCCUGUCAGAAGGGAAGAAUGCAGGAAAUAACUUUUCCUGUUUGACUGUACCUUCAGAGGAAGCCCCGGCUAACUUCGUGCCAGCAGCCGCGGUAAUACGAAGGGGGCAAGCGUUGUUCGGAUUUACUGGGCGUAAAGGGCGUGCAGGCGGACCGAUAAGUCGUCUGUGAAAUCUGUCGGCUCAACCAACAACUUGCAGUCGAAACUAUCGGUCUUGAGUACAGGAGAGGAGAGCGGAAUCUCAGGUGUAGCGGUGAAAUGCGUAGAUAUCUGGGAGAACACCGGUGGCGAAGGCGGCUCUCUGGCCUGACACUGACGCUGAGGCGCGAAAGCUAGGGGAGCGAACGGGAUUAGAUACCCUGGUAGUC